This is a long non-coding RNA of Eptesicus fuscus (big brown bat), 1282 nucleotides long. RefSeq lists it as uncharacterized. NCBI's taxonomy places the organism in Eukaryota, Metazoa, Chordata, Mammalia, Chiroptera, Vespertilionidae. The record is from RefSeq and is a predicted model, not a curated record. The transcript has 4 exons.
UCUUCCCCGCUGGUCACAGAUACAAGCUGCUCAGCUUCCCUCUGAGAGUUACGACGACAACGUGAAAGCCGGCCCCACCUGCCACAGGUUUCAAGUGGACGACUUGACACUGAGGCCACUGCACUGGAAGAAUGGAAGCUGAGGUCCGGGGCCUCCUCCAGGAGAUCUUGUCACAAUGCAAAGGCUCUCCUCAGGAAGCUCCCGGGUACAUCAACUCAAGUGUCUUCGUUUGAGUGCGGCCUGUGUGCCAGGCUCCGGGGCACAGAGAAGAAGCUGACUGGUUCUCUCCCUGCCUAGCAGCCAUCAUCUCACUCACCACGACAUAACCUGGGCGCCGGCACCAACCUUUAGAGGUUGCCUUCCUCAUCCUCCCAGGUCACCUGCUGACGGGGGUCUGAAGGGACACAGUCACCUCUAGAGACUCGCCCUGGCUCUGGGGUAGGACAACAUGUAAUCUCACCAGCCCUCAGAGCCCAAAGGCCUUUUCGGAACGCUAAUCUUCGAAUCGUAGUUUCCGCAUUUGUAAAGUGAGAGACUAGACCAUUUAAGAUACCCUCCUUAGGCUCCACACAGUCAACAUACGUGCAUUUGUGUCUUCCCUGGGUACAAGUCCUUUCUUUCUCUCCUUUUCCUGACAACAGUGCAGGGGGAACAGCCAUUAAUGUCCCUCUUUACUUUACAGCAGUGAGAAGUGGGGAGUUCCAAGGUCCUGCCUGUGGCCACCUGGAGCCUUCCAUGCUUACAGACGAGGUGGCAGCAGUCAGUGUGAGUGUUCCGGCCCAGAAGACUCGGCUCUGAGGGCUGGGCCAGUCUAGGCCUCCACACCCUACAUGUCCUGUUUCAACCACCACCUCAACUCCAAUAGCAGCUUUAGGAAAUUUUUCAGGAUGAAACUGCUGUGAGUUGUUCACACUAGAAGUUUGAAUCAGCUGUGCUUUUCUUUCAGCUAGAGGAGUCCUUACCACACAGUCUAGAAAUCAAGCCCAGAAACUCGUUAAAGAGAAAAACCAGAGUCACUGUGCUGAAAGCCUCAUGGCACCAAGCCUAGACGUCUCUGGUCAGUACACUGACCUCAUCUGUCACACAGGCCCUCUUCCAUCACCAGCGGAAGCUGGCCUUGUCAGAAACAGUCCUUCCUUUUGCCAGCAGCUUUCAAGUCCUGCCCAGUUUUGCCUAUAAAAAGCUUCCCGUUGUCCAGCUUCUCAGAGCAUCUCUAUUUACUAGAUGGGAUGCUGCCUGAUUCAGGAACCACUUAAUAAAGCUUAUUAGCUCUUCAAAUUUA